This is a long non-coding RNA of Salmo trutta (river trout), 1447 nucleotides long. Lineage: Eukaryota; Metazoa; Chordata; Actinopteri; Salmoniformes; Salmonidae. The record is from Ensembl.
UCUAUUCUGUCAGAAUCUGAGAAAAUAAUAUCCCAAAUGUCCUGGUCUCCUUUCCAACCCAGUCGUUCCCUGAGUGUAUACAGUACAACCAGGAGACCGGUGUGUUUGAGGUGGUCAGUGAGUCAGAGGAGGCUCUGUCUAGGAGGAUCAGGUCAACCCUGCAGUACUUUCAAUCACAACCUCUCACUGAUCCAACAGAGCUGUCUGCUAGACCCAUGGUGGACAACCACUACCCUGUUCUGUGCUUGGACAGACAACAGGGAGUGGAGUGGAUCCUAAAAGAAAGACUACCCUUGUUUAUUCACAGUGACUGCUACUUCGAGUACAGGUAAUCCCCACUGUUUUAUUACUAGGGGGUCAUAUCACCUGUUGAUGCAUGUCUAGAUAUCAGCACUGCCCUUUAUCCUGGUCCUGUCUGUCCUGACUUCAUCUGUCUUGAUAUCAGCACUGCCCUUUAUCCUGUCUGUCCUGUCUUCAUCUGUCUAGAUAUCAGCACUGCCCUUUAUCCUGUCUGUCCUGUCUUCAUCUGUCUAGAUAUCAGCACUGCCCUUUAUCCUGGUCCUGUCUGUCCUGUCUUCAUCAAUCACAUUUAUUUUUUUAAUCAAAUUUAUUUAUAAAGCCAGUCUUACAUCAGCUGAUAUCUCAAAGUGCUGUACAGAAACCCAGCCUAAAACCCCAAACAGCAAGCAAUGCAGGUGUAGAAGCACGGUGGCUAGGAAAAACUCCCUAGAAAGGCCAAAACCUAGGAAGAAACCUAGAGAGGAACCAGGCUAUGAGGGGUGGCCAGUCCUCUUCUGGCUGUGCCGGGUGGAGAUUAUAACAGAACGUGGCCAAGAUGUUCAAAUGUUCAUAGAUAACCAGCAGGGUCAAAUAAUAAUAAUCACAGUGGUUGUCGAGGGUGCAACAGGUCAGCACCUCAGGAGUAAAUGUCAGUUGGCUUUUCAUAGCCGAUUAUUGAGAGUAUCUCUACCGCUCCUGCUGUCUCUAGAGAGUUGAAAACAGCAGGUCUGGGACAGGUAGCACGUCCGGUGAACAGGUCAGGGUUCCAUAGCCGCAGGCAGAACAGUUGAAACUGGAGCAGCAGCACGGCCAGGUGGACUGGGGACAGCAAGGAGUCAUCAGGCCAGGUAGUCCUGAGGCAUGGUCCUAGGGCUCAGGUCUUCCGAGAGAGAGAAAGAGAAAAAGAGAGAAUUAGAGCAUACUUAAAUUCACACAGGACACCGGAUAAGACAGGAGAAAUACUCCAGAUAUAACAGACUGACCCUAGCCCCCCGACACAUAAACUACUGCAGCAUAAAUACUGGAGGCUGAGACAGGAGGGGUCAGGAGACACUGUGGCCCCGUCCGACAAUACCCCCGGACAGGGCCAAACAGGCAGGAUAUAACCCCACCCACUUUGCCAAAGCACAGCCCCCCCACCACUAGAGGGAUAUCUUCAACCACCAAC